UGCAAAACUGCGGAAUUACCUUAAUUUUAUUACGAGAGCCAUUCACUCCCUGAAAAUACCAGGUAUUGAAAAUGGGUGAAGCCUCUCAUCCAGGGAGGUCCAGGGGGUGAAUGCCUCUCAUAAGUGCAUUAGCUAGGCCAGUUGAUUUAAUUUAUUUUACUUUUUACUUGUAACACUCAGACUCAGUCAUAUGGCCGUUAAAGAGUGAAGCCUCACAUAUGCAACAUGUGAGCAGUGGCGUUGCAGCAUACCACGCCAUAUAUGGUAUGUCAAUUUCAG
Non-coding RNA from Paramuricea clavata, 279 nucleotides. Lineage: Eukaryota; Metazoa; Cnidaria; Anthozoa; Malacalcyonacea; Plexauridae. The record is from the annotation of a GenBank genome assembly.